CCCGCUCAGAAACUUAAAGGAAUUGACGGGGCCCGCACAAGCGGAGGAGCAUGUGGUUUAAUUCGAUGAUACGCGAGGAACCUUACCUGGGCUCGAACGUAAGAUGACUGUAGGUGAAAGCUUACAUCUCUUCGGAGCAUUUUACGAGGUGCUGCAUGGUUGUCGUCAGCUCGUGCCGUGAGGUGUCGGGUUAAGUCCCAUAACGAGCGCAACCCCUACCUUUAGUUGCCAUCAGGUAAUGCUGGGGACUCUAAAGGAACUGCCUACGCAAGUAGUGAGGAAGGCGGGGAUGACGUCAAAUCAGCACGGCCCUUACGUCCAGGGCUACACACGUGCUACAAUGGCCGAUACAGAGGGCAGCUACCUGGUGACAGGAUGCAAAUCUCCAAAGUCGGUCUCAGUUCGGAUCGGAGUCUGCAACCCGACUCCGUGAAGUUGGAUUCGCUAGUAAUCGCGCAUCAGCCAUGGCGCGGUGAAUACGUUCCCGGGCCUU
RNAcentral lists this ribosomal RNA (493 nucleotides) under uncultured Sphingobacteriales bacterium. RNAcentral's name for it is "bacterial SSU rRNA". It matches the Rfam family "Bacterial small subunit ribosomal RNA", at positions 888 to 1382 of the family's 1533-position model. The record is from RNAcentral. Lineage: Bacteria; Pseudomonadati; Bacteroidota; Sphingobacteriia; Sphingobacteriales.